CCGAUGGAGGGGGAUAACUACUGGAAACGGUAGCUAAUACCGCAUAACGUCGCAAGACCAAAGAGGGGACCUUCGGGCCUCUUGCCAUCGGAUGUGCCCAGAUGGGAUUAGCUAGUAGGUGGGGUAAUGGCUCACCUAGGCGACGAUCCCUAGCUGGUCUGAGAGGAUGACCAGCCACACUGGAACUGAGACACGGUCCAG
RNAcentral lists this ribosomal RNA (201 nucleotides) under uncultured bacterium. Its description in RNAcentral is "partial 16S ribosomal RNA". It matches the Rfam family "Bacterial small subunit ribosomal RNA", at positions 130 to 334 of the family's 1533-position model. The record is from RNAcentral.